RNAcentral lists this ribosomal RNA (492 nucleotides) under uncultured bacterium. RNAcentral describes it as "partial 16S ribosomal RNA". It matches the Rfam family "Bacterial small subunit ribosomal RNA", at positions 29 to 507 of the family's 1533-position model. The record is from RNAcentral.
AGUGAACGCUGGCGGUAGGCCUAACACAUGCAAGUCGAACGGCAGCACACUACGUGCUUGCUCUUACGGGUGGCGAGUCGCGGACGUGUGAGGAAUACAUCGGACUCUACUUUUUCGUGGGGGUUAACGUAGGGAGACUUACGCUAAUACCGCAUACGCCCUACGGGUGAAAGCAGUGGAUCUUCGGACCUUGCGCGAUUGAAUUAGCCGAUGUCGGAUUAGCUAGUUGGCGGGGUAAAGGCCCACCAAGGCGACGAUCCGUAGCUGGUGGGAGAGGCUGAUCAGCCACACUAGAACUGAGACACGGUCCAGACGCCUACGGGACGCAGCAGUGGGGAAUAGUGGACAAUGGGCGCAAGCCUGAUCCAGCCAUACCGCGUGGGAGAAGAAGGCCUUCGGGUUGUAAAGCCCGUUUGUUGGGAAAGAAAAGCAGCAGGUUAAUACCCCGCGGUUCUGACGGUACCCAAAGAAGAAGCACCGGCUAACUUCGUG